CCUACGGGAGGCAGCAGUGAGGAAUAUUGGUCAAUGGACGAGAGUCUGAACCAGCCAAGUAGCGUGAAGGAUGACUGCCCUAUGGGUUGUAAACUUCUUUUAUAUGGGAAUAAAAUGUUCCAUGUGUGGGAUUUUGUAUGUACCAUAUGAAUAAGGAUCGGCUAACUCCGUGCCAGCAGCCGCGGUAAUACGGAGGAUCCGAGCGUUAUCCGGAUUUAUUGGGUUUAAAGGGAGCGUAGGUGGAUUGUUAAGUCAGUUGUGAAAGUUUGCGGCUCAACCGUAAAAUUGCAGUUGAAACUGGCAGUCUUGAGUACAGUAGAGGUGUGCGGAAUACGUGGUGUAGCGGUGAAAUGCUUAGAUAUCACGAAGAACACCGAUUGCGAAGGCAGUUCACUGGACUGCAACUGACACUGAGGCUCGAAAGUGUGGGUAUCAAACAGGAUUAGAUACCCCUGUAGUC
This 460-nucleotide ribosomal RNA is filed under the name uncultured bacterium. Its description in RNAcentral is "partial 16S ribosomal RNA". It matches the Rfam family "Bacterial small subunit ribosomal RNA", at positions 338 to 795 of the family's 1533-position model. The record is from RNAcentral.